This 503-nucleotide ribosomal RNA is filed under the name Sejanus ecnomioides. RNAcentral's name for it is "partial large subunit ribosomal RNA". It matches the Rfam family "Eukaryotic large subunit ribosomal RNA", at positions 755 to 1243 of the family's 3401-position model. The record is from RNAcentral. Lineage: Eukaryota; Metazoa; Arthropoda; Insecta; Hemiptera; Miridae.
GCACUCCCGGGGCGUCUCUUUCUCAUUGCGAGUGGAGGCGCACCCAGAGCGUACACGCUGAUACCCGAAAGAUGGUGAACUAUGCCUGGCCAGGACGAAGCCAGGGGAAACCCUGGUGGAGGUCCGCAGCGAUUCUGACGUGCAAAUCGAUCGUCGGAGCUGGGUAUAGGGGCGAAAGACCAAUCGAACCAUCUAGUAGCUGGUUCCCUCCGAAGUUUCCCUCAGGAUAGCUUGCGCUCACGUGAACGAGUCUCAUCCGGUAGAGCGAAUGAUUAGAGGCCUUGGGGUCGAAACGACCUCAACCUAUUCUCAAACUCCAAAUAGAUGAGAACUCCGGCUUCCUUGAAACUUUGUUUUUGAAGCCGGGGGCUCGGAUCAGAGUGCCAAGUGGGCCAAUUUUGGUAAGCAGAACUGGCGCUGUGGGAUGAACCAAACGUCGAGUUAAGGCGCCCAAAUCGUCGCUCAUGUGGAAACCAUGAAAGGCGUUGGUGCUAAGACAGCAG